GUAGGGAAUCUUCCGCAAUGGGCGAAAGCCUGACGGAGCAACGCCGCGUGAGUGAUGAAGGUCUUCGGAUCGUAAAACUCUGUUAUUAGGGAAGAACAAGUGCGUAGGUAACUAUGCGCACCUUGACGGUACCUAAUCAGAAAGCCACGGCUAACUACGUGCCAGCAGCCGCGGUAAUACGUAGGUGGCAAGCGUUAUCCGGAAUUAUUGGGCGUAAAGCGCGCGUAGGCGGUUUUUUAAGUCUGAUGUGAAAGCCCACGGCUCAACCGUGGAGGGUCAUUGGAAACUGGAAAACUUGAGUGCAGAAGAGGAAAGUGGAAUUCCAUGUGUAGCGGUGAAAUGCGCAGAGAUAUGGAGGAACACCAGUGGCGAAGGCGACUUUCUGGUCUGCAACUGACGCUGAUGUGCGAAAGCGUGGGGAUCAAACAGGAUUAGAAACCCGAGUAGUCC
Molecule: ribosomal RNA, 450 nt
Filed under: uncultured bacterium
Lineage: Bacteria
Description: bacterial SSU rRNA
Rfam family: Bacterial small subunit ribosomal RNA
Source: RNAcentral